Molecule: ribosomal RNA, 640 nt
Filed under: Cellulomonas sp. chr2
Lineage: Bacteria; Bacillati; Actinomycetota; Actinomycetes; Micrococcales; Cellulomonadaceae
Description: bacterial SSU rRNA
Rfam family: Bacterial small subunit ribosomal RNA
Source: RNAcentral
GCGUGCUUAACACAUGCAAGUCGAACGAUGAUGCCCAGCUUGCUGGGCGGAUUAGUGGCGAACGGGUGAGUAACACGUGAGUAACCUGCCCUUGACUUCGGGAUAACUCCGGGAAACCGGGGCUAAUACCGGAUAUGAGCCGCCUUCGCAUGGGGGUGGUUGGAAAGUUUUUCGGUCAGGGAUGGGCUCGCGGCCUAUCAGCUUGUUGGUGGGGUGAUGGCCUACCAAGGCGACGACGGGUAGCCGGCCUGAGAGGGCGACCGGCCACACUGGGACUGAGACACGGCCCAGACUCCUACGGGAGGCAGCAGUGGGGAAUAUUGCACAAUGGGCGAAAGCCUGAUGCAGCGACGCCGCGUGAGGGAUGAAGGCCUUCGGGUUGUAAACCUCUUUCAGCAGGGAAGAAGCGCAAGUGACGGUACCUGCAGAAGAAGCGCCGGCUAACUACGUGCCAGCAGCCGCGGUAAUACGUAGGGCGCAAGCGUUGUCCGGAAUUAUUGGGCGUAAAGAGCUCGUAGGCGGUUUGUCGCGUCUGGUGUGAAAACUCGAGGCUCAACCUCGAGCUUGCAUCGGGUACGGGCAGACUAGAGUGCGGUAGGGGAGACUGGAAUUCCUGGUGUAGCGGUGGAAUGCGCAGAUA